GACGAACGCUGGCGGCGUGCUUAACACAUGCAAGUCGAACGAAGAGCGAUGGAAGCUUGCUUCUAUCAAUCUUAGUGGCGAACGGGUGAGUAACGCGUAAUCAACCUGCCCUUCAGAGGGGGACAACAGUUGGAAACGACGGCUAAUACCGCAUACGAUCUAACCUCGGCAUCGAGGAAAGAUGAAAGGUGGCCUCUAUGUAUAAGCUAUCACUGAAGGAGGGGAUUGCGUCUGAUUAGCUAGUUGGAGGGGUAACGGCCCACCAAGGCGAUGAUCAGUAGCCGGUCUGAGAGGAUGAACGGCCACAUUGGGACUGAGACACGGCCCAGACUCCUACGGGAGGCAGCAGUGGGGAAUCUUCCGCAAUGGACGAAAGUCUGACGGAGCAACGCCGCGUGAGUGAUGACGGCCUUCGGGUUGUAAAGCUCUGUUAAUCGGGACGAAAGGCCUUCUUGCGAAUAGUGAGAAGGAUUGACGGUACCGGAAUAGAAAGCCACGGCUAACUACGUG
RNAcentral lists this ribosomal RNA (510 nucleotides) under uncultured bacterium. RNAcentral's name for it is "partial 16S ribosomal RNA". It matches the Rfam family "Bacterial small subunit ribosomal RNA", at positions 28 to 507 of the family's 1533-position model. The record is from RNAcentral.